This 512-nucleotide ribosomal RNA is filed under the name uncultured bacterium. RNAcentral's name for it is "partial 16S ribosomal RNA". It matches the Rfam family "Bacterial small subunit ribosomal RNA", at positions 28 to 523 of the family's 1533-position model. The record is from RNAcentral.
GACGAACGCUGGCGGCGUGCCUAAUACAUGCAAGUCGAGCGGAUGGAAGGAAGCUUGCUUCCUAAAGUCAGCGGCGGACGGGUGAGUAACACGUGGGCAACCUGCCCCUAAGAUCGGGAUAACUUCGGGAAACCGGAGCUAAUACCGGAUAUGAUUAUGUCUCACAUGAGACAUAAUGGAAAGACGGUUUCGGCUGUCACUUAGGGAUGGGCCCGCGGCGCAUUAGCUAGUUGGUGAGGUAACGGCUCACCAAGGCGACGAUGCGUAGCCGAGCUGAGAGGGUGAUCGGCCACACUGGGACUGAGACACGGCCCAGACUCCUACGGGAGGCAGCAGUAGGGAAUCUUCCGCAAUGGACGAAAGUCUGACGGAGCAACGCCGCGUGAGUGAAGAAGGUUUUCGGAUCGUAAAACUCUGUUGUUAGGGAAGAACAAGUACCAUAGUAACUGAUGGUACCUUGACGGUACCUAACCAGAAAGCCACGGCUAACUACGUGCCAGCCGCCGCCGUAA